CAUUUCAUAGUCAAUUUUACUCAGGAUCUUUUUUCUGUCUUUUCAGAUGGGGUUCUUUCCGUUUCCUGCUGGGAAAACCGUUAGAUGCCAUCGUGGAUUGAUGAAUACCGUUGUACUUGAAUAAACAGGAACUCUUCCUACAGCUUCUUUGUCAGCAGCAGCAGCAGGUGAAACCAAAUUAUUAAUCUGAUGGUUCUAAUAUCAAUUUGCCCUUCUGCCACAAAAGAAAAAAAUACUCUUAUUUGCUGUCAUCUACAGAAAAGGAACCUUAAGUGAAUUACGUGGCCUCCUAUGGGAAUGUGCAAUAUGAAGAGCUUCCAGCAUUCAUCCUUUCAACACCAGGAGUCCUUA
Long non-coding RNA from Uloborus diversus, 351 nucleotides. RefSeq lists it as uncharacterized. The transcript has 3 exons. Lineage: Eukaryota; Metazoa; Arthropoda; Arachnida; Araneae; Uloboridae. The record is from RefSeq and is a predicted model, not a curated record.